Molecule: long non-coding RNA, 1962 nt
Filed under: Citrus x clementina
Lineage: Eukaryota; Viridiplantae; Streptophyta; Magnoliopsida; Sapindales; Rutaceae
Description: Citrus clementina (C. clementina) long non-coding RNA (CCLE_LNC002439)
Source: RNAcentral
UUCUAAAAAAUUAUUCAAUUUAUUAAAGAAAAUCUUAAUGCAAUUAUAAAUCAAAUUCAAAGCAAUAACAAUUAAGAUGAUCACAAUAUAAAAAGAUAAGGGAAGAGGGAUUCAAACACUGAGAUUUUUACGUGGUUCAGCCAACCUCGCCUACGUCCACGCCUCCAAGCUUUCCGGGCUUGAGGAUUCCACUAAGCAAGCCUCCAAGGCUUCAAAUGCUUACACUUGACUUUCAAGGUGUCAAUGGACCUUUACAACAAGAGAUUAUCCCCAAUCUCUUAACCCAAGUGUAUCCCAACACUUACAAUCACUCAAAGUAAAAGAUUACAAACUGUUUUGCCUCUCACAAUAUAUAAGAUUACACAAUGAUGCUUAAUAUGUGAAUAGAUGAAGCAAGAAUGUGUUCUAAGCUCUAUGAAGAUUGUAUUCUCGGAUAUUAGCUCAAAUGGUUGUGUUGUGAUCAAUCUUCUUUGAAUUUAAAUGAGCUUAUUUAUAUCUGGAGCUGAAAAUCUAGCCGUUACAAAAUGUCGAACAAAAAACGGUUCGCCGUUAACUAUAAACGGUUAACCGUUUCAGUUGGUCAAAGUUACCGUUGGGCCAGAUUUCAAAUAAACGGUUAGCCGUUUAGGAUUGCCCUUUCGCCGUUAACUUCCAGAGUCCUGCAAGAUGAGCAUUUGUUAUCCGUUUACGCUAAACGGUUAAGGACUUGCAUGAAGUAACGUUUCUGGAUAUUAUCGGUUAACCGUUUGCAAUAAACAGUUAGCCGUUUGUCUCCAGUAACCUGCAAAAUGAACAUCAGUUAAUCCGUUUUCAUUUAGCGGUUAAGGGAUUGCAUAAAGUGGCUUCUCUAGGUAUUAUCGGUUGACCGUUUAAAAUAAACGGUUUUCCGUUUGGCUCUAGUAACCUGCACAACAAUUUAGUCUUAUCAGUUUUCGUUAAUCAAUGCUAGAGGAGGACAACCUUCAAUUCUGGACGUUAUCGGUUAACCGUUUAAAAUAAACGGUUCACCGUUAGGUUCCAGUAGCCUUCCCAUCUUUGGUGUUUUCCGUUAAACAUAAACGGCUAGAGCUUAGGUAAUAUGUUGCUCUCUGGUGCUAAUCGGUUAACCAUUUAAAAGAAAACGGUUUACCGUUAAUUUCCAGUAACUUCCCCAUCUUUUGUGUUUUCCGUUUUUCAUAAACGGUUAGAGGUUUAGGAAAUGUGUUGCUCUCUGCCUUUAAUCGGUUAACCGUUUUAAAUAAACGGUUCACCGUUUAUAACCAGAAUUGCAAUUUUAAAUGAGUUUUUGCAGAGAAUCUCUUUUUAAUUUGAAAAUCCAUCUUUUAUGAAGAAAUAAGGCAACGAUUAAAAGGGCUUUCGUUUAUUAAGAAAUAGCUCCAAUAUUUUUGUCAAAAUACAUUUAAAAUUUGUUAUCAUCAAAAUCAAUAUUAUUAACAUAUUUAUGUUAACACAAUAUUAGUCAUGUAUUGAUUAAAUGUAUCCAUUUACCUUUUUUUUUAUAACCAAAUUACCAAUCAAUAAAUCCAAAAAGCCAAAUCUAAAGGUAAAAAGAGUCAGCUACUCAGCUAUAAGGACAGGAAAUAACAACUAUAAAUCUAUAACGCUAAUAAAAAAACCCAUGUAGCUAAGGAAAAUUGUUACUCUCUUGAAAUAAGAAAAACUAAGUAUAAUAUUAGUUAAUGUAGAAGGUAGACUAACUUUUGGAUUUUGCCUACUGAUUUGUCAAUUGGAGUAGGUUAGGAUCACUGUCUUAUUCUUCAAUUCCAACUCUAUAUAUUUGAUAUUAUAAUUCUCUUUUGUCAAAACCACUUUAACAACGUAUUUAAUUUCAACAAUUUGACACAAAUAUUCAAUCUAGAAACUAUUGGCUUUGAGUUUCAAGCUUAUAAUAAAUAUUCACGAAAAAGCCACCCAUACUCUAAAGGUUUAUUUAAUUGAUUACAUAAACACCUUUAAUCUUAG